Leopardus geoffroyi (Geoffroy's cat) is the source of this 623-nucleotide long non-coding RNA. RefSeq lists it as uncharacterized. The transcript has 5 exons. The record is from RefSeq and is a predicted model, not a curated record. Lineage: Eukaryota; Metazoa; Chordata; Mammalia; Carnivora; Felidae.
ACCCAGGUGGCCCUGGGGGCACCUAUUGCAGGAAGCAUGUGCCACAUUGCUUAUUAUCUACUGAGGCCAGGGUAAGAAAGACUGAGGUAAAGGGACUCAAGGACAUGCCAGGAAAGAUAGAAGACCAGAAACUUCCAAGAAUUGGAACAGACAGGGAGCACUGAAGCAGAGAAAAGGGAGAGAAGUUUCCACAAGCCAGCUAUGCUCUACUGCUCAUUGCAUUUGACAUGCUUCAUGAUGAGUGAGGGAUACAAUCUCUCCAACAGAGCCAUGCUAAGUGUGAACAAAUCAUCAUAAAAAGAAGCAGAUGUAUGCCUGGAUUCCUGGGGGCUGAUGAAGUAAUGAAUGGGCAGCCAGGAUAGAAAUGCUCUUAUUUCACUUAAGAAAUAUAUCCUGAGAAAAGUGACUGUUAUAUGACAUUUUCUAUCUCAACAGUGUGAAUGCAGACCAGAUGUGAGAUGCAGUGGUCUCCAUAAGACAUUAAAGGAAUCCACAAAAAGUGAUGUCUUUUUAUGUUUUAUCAAGGAUACUGGAUCAAGGCAUGCAUCAAGGCAGGUGCUGAGAUCCACUUGUCUUACUGCCACUCAAGACAAACUUCAUACCUAAGUUUCCUUCACUUAUUA